UACUAUAGCUUGACACUGAACAUUGAGCCUUGAUGUGUAGGAUAGGUGGGAGGCUUUGAAGUGUGGACGCCAGUCUGCAUGGAGCCGGCCUUGAAAUACCACCCUUUAAUGUUUGAUGUUCUAACGUUGACCCGUGAUCCGGGUUGCGGACAGUGUCUGGUGGGUAGUUUGACUGGGGCGGUCUCCUCCUAAAGAGUAACGGAGGAGCACGAAGGUUGGCUAAUCCUGGUCGGACAUCAGGAGGUUAGUGCAAUGGCAUAAGCCAGCUUGACUGCGAGCGUGACGGCGCGAGCAGGUGCGAAAGCAGGUCAUAGUGAUCCGGUGGUUCUGAAUGGAAGGGCCAUCGCUCAACGGAUAAAAGGUACUCCGGGGAUAACAGGCUGAUACCGCCCAAGAGUUCAUAUCGACGGCGGUGUUUGGCACCUCGAUGUCGGCUCAUCACAUCCUGGGGCUGAAGUAGGUCCCAAGGGUAUGGCUGUUCGCCAUUUAAAGUGGUACGCGAGCUGGGUUUAGAACGUCGUGAGACAGUUCGGUCCCUA
This 539-nucleotide ribosomal RNA is filed under the name Escherichia coli. RNAcentral describes it as "partial 23S ribosomal RNA". It matches the Rfam family "Bacterial large subunit ribosomal RNA", at positions 2102 to 2640 of the family's 2925-position model. The record is from RNAcentral. Lineage: Bacteria; Pseudomonadati; Pseudomonadota; Gammaproteobacteria; Enterobacterales; Enterobacteriaceae.